Molecule: long non-coding RNA, 1179 nt
Filed under: Bos indicus x Bos taurus (hybrid cattle)
Lineage: Eukaryota; Metazoa; Chordata; Mammalia; Artiodactyla; Bovidae
Description: lncRNA (ENSBIXG00005002729.1)
Source: RNAcentral
AUGGAGGCUGGCGUUCUCAGAGGCGGCGGGGAUCGGGCGUCUGUAAGCGAGGGGCCUGAGUCUAGGCUGGCCACCUUCAGGUUCUUCCGCGGGGCCCUCUUGAUGAAACAGCACUCCUGCCCUAGCGCUGGGGACCGCGACAGCCACGCCCCCGAGAGCCCUGCAGCCGGGCCAGGUGUUCCCAGGGCUCGCUCACCUUCCCGGCUCAUCGAGGCGCUUUCUGUGCCGGGCCUGGAGCUAUCCCGAGGAAAAUCGUACCCAGUUCCGUUCAGUUCAGUCGCUCAGUCGUGUCCGACUCUUUGCGACCCAUGGACUGCGGCACGCCAGGCCUCCCUGUCCAUCACCAACUUCCAGAGUUUACCCAAACUCAUGUCCAUCGAGUCCAUGAUGCCAUCCAACCAUCUCAUCCUCUGUCGUCUCCUUCUCCUCCAGCCUUUAAUCUUUCCCAGAAUCAGGGUCUUUUCAAAUGAGUCAGCUCUUCGCAUCAGGUGGCCAAAGUAUUGGAGUUUCAGCUUCAGCAUCAGUCUCCUUCCAAUGAAUAUUGAGGACGGAUUUCCAUUAGGCUUUCCUGUGGCUCAGCUGGUAAAUAGCACCCACUCCCAGAAAAAGCCACCUCCGGUCCCAAGGCCUCCCAGGCGAAAAGGGUGCGAGAGGUCUGUCGGCUGCCUUCCGCCGCCUGGAAGCGAAGCUGCAGCCCCAUCGCCAGUUUCCGCAUCCCAGUCGGUGCGUCCCCGGCGCCCGCGGUCCAGCCCCGAAGGCAGGGCGGGUCCACAGGCUUCGGUAACCGCUCCUCCCGCCCCAGCCCCGAACCCCGCGGCCGCUUUAACAGCCGUGGACGUGAGAAUUUUCCACCAAUCUGGAGACCUAGAUGCUGGCGCAGGAACCAAAACCCGAGGGCCGCGGAGACGCCAGAAGGGCGAGAAGCCAGGGAUCCCGCCUUUCCAGCACCGGGAGGGGGAGACCCCUGGGCGAAGAGCGCCCCCCCCCCGUGCCCACCACGUGCCCCCCUCUUGCCCCCCUCUCCAGGCGUCCCGGGUCACUUCCCGCCGUCCCCUCCCCAGCUUCCUCGCCCCUGCCCCUGGCGACCCUCCCGGGGUUUCCUUUGUCCCCCGCCCCCACGCCCUUGCCCCCUGGGCGUCCCGAGUCCGCUCCUUGGCCUGGUCCCCCCGCCUCCCAUGA